GAUAAACGCUGGCGGCGUGCCUAAUACAUGCAAGUCGAGCGAACGGACGAGAAGCUUGCUUCUCUGAUGUUAGCGGCGGACGGGUGAGUAACACGUGGAUAACCUACCUAUAAGACUGGGAUAACUUCGGGAAACCGGAGCUAAUACCGGAUAAUAUUUUGAACCGCAUGGUUCAAAAGUGAAAGACGGUCUUGCUGUCACUUAUAGAUGGAUCCGCGCUGCAUUAGCUAGUUGGUAAGGUAACGGCUUACCAAGGCAACGAUGCAUAGCCGACCUGAGAGGGUGAUCGGCCACACUGGAACUGAGACACGGUCCAGACUCCUACGGGAGGCAGCAGUAGGGAAUCUUCCGCAAUGGGCGAAAGCCUGACGGAGCAACGCCGCGUGAGUGAUGAAGGUCUUCGGAUCGUAAAACUCUGUUAUUAGGGAAGAACAUAUGUGUAAGUAACUGUGCACAUCUUGACGGUACCUAAUCAGAAAGCCACGGCUAACUACGUGCCAGCAGCCGCGGUAAUACGUAGGUGGCAAGCGUUAUCCGGAAUUUAUGGGCGUNAAGCGCGCGUANGCGGUUUUUUUAGUCUGAAGUUAAGGCUGUGGCUUAACCAUAGUACGCUUUGGAAACUGUUUAACUUGAGUGCAAGAGGGGAGAGUGGAAUUCCAUGUGUAGCGGUGAAAUGCGUAGAUAUAUGGAGGAACACCGGUGGCGAAAGCGGCUCUCUGGCUUGUAACUGACGCUGAGGCUCGAAAGCGUGGGGAGCAAACAGGAUUAGAUACCCUGGUAGUCCACGCCGCAAACGAUGGGUGCUAGGUGUUAGACCCUUUCCGGGGUUUAGUGCCGUAGCUAACGCAUUAAGCACUCCGCCUGGGGAGUACGACCGCAAGGUUGAAACUCAAAGGAAUUGACGGGGGCCCGCACAAGCGGUGGAGCAUGUGGUUUAAUUCGAAGCAACGCGAAGAACCUUACCAGGUCUUGACAUCCCUCUGACCGCUCUAGAGAUAGAGCUUUCCUUCGGGACAGAGGUGACAGGUGGUGCAUGGUUGUCGUCAGCUCGUGUCGUGAGAUGUUGGGUUAAGUCCCGCAACGAGCGCAACCCCUAUUGUUAGUUGCCAUCAUUCAGUUGGGCACUCUAGCGAGACUGCCGGUAAUAAACCGGAGGAAGGUGGGGAUGACGUCAAAUCAUCAUGCCCCUUAUGACCUGGGCUACACACGUGCUACAAUGGCUGGUACAACGAGUCGCAAGCCGGUGACGGCAAGCUAAUCUCUUAAAGCCAGUCUCAGUUCGGAUUGUAGGCUGCAACUCGCCUACAUGAAGUCGGAAUCGCUAGUAAUCGCGGAUCAGCACGCCGCGGUGAAUACGUUCCCGGGCCU
Molecule: ribosomal RNA, 1368 nt
Filed under: uncultured bacterium
Lineage: Bacteria
Description: partial 16S ribosomal RNA
Rfam family: Bacterial small subunit ribosomal RNA
Source: RNAcentral